UUUCUCUGUCUUUUCUUCUCACAAUUUCUCUUCUCAACCUCACUCACUCUUUUCUCUUCUCCCACUCCAGAUUCUCCUCUCUCUCUUUUUUAGUUCACUAUUACCAGGAAAUCAGCUGAUUAAUUCACCUCGGUGAAAUCAAAUAGAGAUGCAAGCAAUGGAGGCUGGGAAGAGUGACAAGGAGGAAUCUCACGUUCUUAAGCUCAAUAUCAUCUCGGCGCAAGGACUCAAAGAACCGACAGGAUUGCAGACUUUGUUGAUUCCUCCAACAAGCUCCGUAUUUGGAUUGAUCGAUCAAAAAAUUCUGAUCCGUAGGACUCUUCGGGAAGACCCCGUCUCUCCAAACGCCGAGGAUCUCGUUCUACUGAUCGGUGAGGAUUCUGCUGCACUUGGAUUAGGCAAACAGAAGCUUGCUUCUUGGCUUUAUUUCCGAUUGUCCUUGGAGUCGUUCUCUUCAUCCUCAACAUAGUUUGGAUCGAUCAUUCCACCAGUUUUGGAAAAUGCAUCGACACCGUCUCUAGCAUCUCCGAUACACCGGAGGUUGCUAUGUUAAUGCUUAUCCUCAUAUUUGCAACGGUACAUAGUGGUUUAGCUGGUCUCAAGGAUAUAGGAGAUAAAAUCAUAGUUCAAUGAGCAUUUUGUGUUCUAUUUUCUGGCAUCUCUCUUCCUUUAGCUAUGAACACCAUUGUGAGUACUCUCUUUCUCUAGAUGGUUGGAUAAAUCGUUUGGUGUUUGGCACAUAUACCCUGGAUUGGAAACACAGUAGUUGCAUCAGCUUCUCUCGGUUUGAUUGCACAACAUUUGUUUGGGGCUUGGAAUGAAGACAUGAGAUUACAUAAAAGAUACAGAGAGGCUUUUGAAGGCAUCAAGAAGAGAACAAGUGUGGUUCCUUUUGCUGCCAUUUUUGAAGGACGCCAAGUUUGAGGAUUACUACAAAGAAUUUAAGUAAGGUAGAUUACCAGAGUUUGUAAGUUCUUUGGUGAGAUGUUAUCUUGGAUGUUUUGUUUUAUCUAUUAUGUAUACUUCACAAAACAGGAAGAAAAAAAAGAAAUCAGCUAUCGUUUUUUCAUUUUUUGUUAUA
Eutrema salsugineum is the source of this 1081-nucleotide long non-coding RNA. RefSeq lists it as uncharacterized. The transcript has 2 exons. Lineage: Eukaryota; Viridiplantae; Streptophyta; Magnoliopsida; Brassicales; Brassicaceae. The record is from RefSeq and is a predicted model, not a curated record.